UCUAAUCUCUUAAGAAGAGUUUCAGCAAGCUUUGCAUACAUAACGUUAAUGCUAAUUCUCUUGAUAAAGAGUUUUAACAAAGAUGAUUUUGCAAUAGUAACGUCACUACUUAGCAUUUCAUACGGAUUGUUCCCUAUUUCGAUCUCGCCGUUACGUGUUUCGUAGCAAUUAACGUAUGUUAAAGGAUUUUCAAGAGAAUCGACUCAGGUACGUUAAGGCUAUUCCUUCUUUCUUUUUAGCAUGAUCUAUACGACACGAACGAAACGAGCAAAUGCACAAAUUCCAUAAAUGACUCUAUUCACAUAAGUAUUAGAGAUAUCUAUGUUCUUGAAUUUUCAUGUCUUAUUAUUCUAUCGUCUGUUUAUAGGCCUCAGAAAAUACAUAAGUUGAUAAAGUAUGUUUCAUGAUAUUAAUCAGAGGUAUAAUGGUCUUAUGUUUCAUGAUAUUAAUCAGAGGUAUAAUGGUCUUAUGACGUUCCAAGAGAUUUUAUUAACGUACUUCUCAUGCAUUGCAUUGAUUUAUAAAUGUACAUUGACCCAUGAGCAGUCGAUGUUAUAUAUAUAUAUAUAUAUAUAUACACGUUGAUGAUUUUGUCCACAGUGGCCGAGAUGAUAUGAUAGGAUGCUCUUAAAGGCUUGAUGAUGUUAUGAACACAUAUACCUAUGCACGACAUGACAUCCAUAUGAAUAUGCAUAAUACUAAAGUAUUUCAUAAUUUACAGAGUUAUACAGACUUAUAGGUUGAGUCAUUUACUCCAUGUUUCUUCCAUGUCUUUUAUAUACUUAUUUAUAUGCCAUAUAUACUCGGUACAUUAUUCGUACUGACGUCCCCUUUUUUUUUGGAGAUGUUACAUUUCAUACAGGUCCGAUAGACAGGAUGAGAGCCUUCCAUGUUGGCUAUCAGCUCAACGGAAGGUGUUGGUGUGCUCCAUUUGUUUUUUGGAGAUGCUUUUUUAGUCAGUUGAUAAGAACAUGUAUUGAUUGGAAUGGCGGGACCCUGUCCCUACCUUUAUGAUAUUACGUAUUAUUAGAGGCUUGUAAACAGUUGUCUUGUAAGUGAAAAUUUAUAUGGCUUUGUCGGCCUAUGUGUAAUAUACGAGUGAUUAUUUUGGUCUUAUAGGCCC
Molecule: long non-coding RNA, 1123 nt
Filed under: Nicotiana benthamiana
Lineage: Eukaryota; Viridiplantae; Streptophyta; Magnoliopsida; Solanales; Solanaceae
Description: long non-coding RNA (NBEN_LNC034909)
Source: RNAcentral